Molecule: ribosomal RNA, 459 nt
Filed under: uncultured bacterium
Lineage: Bacteria
Description: partial 16S ribosomal RNA
Rfam family: Bacterial small subunit ribosomal RNA
Source: RNAcentral
CCUACGGGAGGCAGCAGUGAGGAAUAUUGGUCAAUGGCCGAGAGGCUGAACCAGCCAAGUCGCGUGAGGGAAGACGGCCCUACGGGUUGUAAACCUCUUUUGUCGGGGAGCAAAGCGAGUCACGUGUGACUCAUUGAGAGUACCCGACGAAAAAGCAUCGGCUAACGCCGUGCCAGCAGCCGCGGUAAUACGGAGGAUGCGUGCGUUAUCCGGAUUUAUUGGGUUUAAAGGGCGCGCUGGCGGCCUGUAAAGUCAGUGGUAAAAGCCCGGGGCUCAACCCCGGCGAGCCGAUGAAACUGGCGGGCUGGAGUUGGAGAGAGGUACGCGGAAUGCGCGGUGUAGCAGUGAAAUGCUUAGAUAUCGCGCAGAACCCCGAUUGCGAAGGCAGCGUACCGGCUCCACACUGACGCUGAGGCACGAAGGCGUGGGUAUCGAACAGGAUUAGAUACCCGUGUAGUC